UACGUAGGGACCAAGCGUUGUUCGGAUUUACUGGGCGUAAAGGGCGCGUAGGCGGUCAGCACAAGUCAGUUGUGAAAUCUCCGAGCUUAACUCGGAAAGGUCAACUGAUACUGUGCGACUAGAGUGCAGAAGGGGCAACUGGAAUUCUCGGUGUAGCGGUGAAAUGCGUAGAUAUCGAGAGGAACACCUGCGGCGAAGGCGGGUUGCUGGGCUGACACUGACGCUGAUGCGCGAAAGCCAGGGGAGCGAACGGG
RNAcentral lists this ribosomal RNA (254 nucleotides) under uncultured bacterium. Its description in RNAcentral is "partial 16S ribosomal RNA". It matches the Rfam family "Bacterial small subunit ribosomal RNA", at positions 524 to 776 of the family's 1533-position model. The record is from RNAcentral.